RNAcentral lists this ribosomal RNA (254 nucleotides) under uncultured bacterium. RNAcentral describes it as "partial 16S ribosomal RNA". It matches the Rfam family "Bacterial small subunit ribosomal RNA", at positions 524 to 777 of the family's 1533-position model. The record is from RNAcentral.
UACGAAGGGGGCUAGCGUUGCUCGGAAUCACUGGGCGUAAAGCGCACGUAGGCGGAUUGCUAAGUCAGGGGUGAAAUCCUGGAGCUCAACUCCAGAACUGCCUUUGAUACUGAAGAUCUUGAGUUCGGGAGAGGUGAGUGGAACUGCGAGUGUAGAGGUGAAAUUCGUAGAUAUUCGCAAGAACACCAGUGGCGAAGGCGGCUCACUGGCCCGAUACUGACGCUGAGGCACGAAAGCGUGGGGAGCAAACAGGG